GCCAGUGUGGUAUAGUGGUUUGAGUGUUGGACUGCAACUCUGGAGAUCACGGUUUGAUUCCCUGCUCAGUCA
Phrynosoma platyrhinos (Desert horned lizard) is the source of this 72-nucleotide non-coding RNA. The record is from the annotation of a GenBank genome assembly. Lineage: Eukaryota; Metazoa; Chordata; Lepidosauria; Squamata; Phrynosomatidae.